RNAcentral lists this unclassified non-coding RNA (229 nucleotides) under uncultured fungus. Its description in RNAcentral is "sequence contains ITS1, 5.8S rRNA gene". The stretch from base 181 to 229 matches the Rfam family "5.8S ribosomal RNA", at positions 1 to 49 of the family's 154-position model. Lineage: Eukaryota; Fungi. The record is from RNAcentral.
UCUCCGUAGGUGAACCUGCGGAGGGCUCAUUACUGAGCGAGGGUUUAACCGCCCGACCUCCAACCCUUUUGUGAACCACCUCGUUGCUUCGGGGGCGACCCUGCCGUUCGCGGCGUGGGGCCCCCGGAGCCCAUCAAACCCUGCGUAACUAAGUCGUCGGAGUUUAAACAAAUUAAACAAAACUUUCAACAACGGAUCUCUUGGCUCUCGCAUCGAUGAAGAACGCAGC